GAGAGAGAGAGCAAGAGAGGAAGGGGAGGCAGGAGGGAUGGACAGUUGCUCAAAAGCUGACUUUACUGGCUGGCUUUCCUAUCAGGGCAGCUCACACGCAUCCAAAUCCCAGAUUAAACACCCCCACGUCUCUUUCCAACCAGCAGCACUCCUACAAGUCCCUGCUCCCCCUCUUUCUGUAACUGUACUGAGCGUGGAUUACCAAACUCUGAAGCAAAGCAGGGGCUCUGACAGGCUCCAAACAGAAUGGUGGUUUCAUCCCAACAUCACUGGGAUCGAGGCAGAACACCUGCUCCUGACACGGGGCGUCCAUGGCAGCUUUCUAGCGAGACCCAGCAAGAGCAACCCAGGAGAUUUCACUCUCUCUGUCAGGAGGAACGAUGAGGUCACCCAUAUUAAAAUCCAGAACUCGGGGGACUAUUAUGACCUGUACGGAGGGGAGAAGUUUGCCACGCUGGCUGAAUUGGUCCAGUACUACACCGAGCAGCACGACCUCCUGCGGGAACGCAAUGGAGAUGUUAUCGAGCUGAAAUACCCCCUCAACUGCAAAGACCCCACGUCUGAGAGGUGGUAUCAUGGGCAUCUCUCAGGGAGAGAUGCUGAAAAGCUCCUUACGGAGAAGGGCAAAUCCGGCAGCUUCCUGGUGAGAGAGAGCCAAAGUAAACCGGGAGACUUUGUGCUUUCCGUCCUCACUAAUGAAGAAAAGCAUGACAAUUUAGACCGCAAGACUAAAGUUACCCAUGUCAUGAUCCGUUAUCAGGAUGGAAAAUAUGAUGUAGGAGGAGGGGAGAGGUUUGACACUUUGGCAGAUUUAGUGGAGCAUUAUAAGAAAAACCCCAUGGUUGAGAAGAGUGGAAUUGUUGUACACCUUAAACAGCCAUUCAAUGCCACAAGGAUAAAUGCAGCAAACAUUGAAAACAGGGUACGAGAAUUAAAUAAAGUAGCUGACAACUCGGAGAAACCCAAGCAAGGCUUCUGGGAAGAAUUUGAGGUUUUACAGCAGCAAGAAUGUAAACUCCUUUACCCCAGGAAAGAGGGGCAGAAACCAGAAAACAAAAACAAGAACAGAUAUAAGAACAUACUACCAUUUGACACCACUCGAGUGCAGAUCAAGGAGGCGGAUCCUGACGUGCCAGGCUCCGAUUACAUCAACGCUAACUAUAUCCGAAGCAUGAAUGAAGAAGGUCGUCAUAUGGGUGAAGGGAAAGUGUUCAUCGCCACUCAGGGUUGCCUUCAGAACACUGUCGUAGACUUCUGGAAAAUGGUGUACCAGGAAAACACUCAUGUUAUUGUCAUGACAACCAAGGAGAUGGAGAGAGGACGGAAUAAGUGUGUGCGGUACUGGCCGGACUUAAAUUCAACAAAGGAGUUUGGGAAGGUGUGUGUGAAGAACAUUGAGGAACACACAGCUCAGGACUACAUACGGCGAGAGCUUGAAGUUACACGUCUAGACAGGAGAGAGCCUCCCAGGUGUAUCUGGCACUAUCAGUACCUGAGCUGGCCAGAUCACGGUGUUCCCAAUGAACCUGGAGGAGUCUUGAGCUUCCUGGAGCAAGUCAACAGAACCCAGAGUGCCAUUCCAGAGAGUGGACCAAUAGUGGUUCACUGCAGUGCAGGGAUUGGAAGAACAGGCACAAUUAUUGUAAUUGACAUCCUUAUUGAUAUCAUAAACAGACAAGGGUUGGAUUGUGACAUCGACAUCCCAAAGACCAUUCAGAGAGUGCGCCAGCAACGAUCCGGUAUGGUUCAGACCGAGGCCCAGUACAAGUUCAUCUACAUGGCUGUUCAGCAAUACAUUGACACCGCUCAGAAGAGACUGGAAGAGGAGCAGAGGAAUAAAACAAAGGAGAGAGAGUACUCUAACAUCAAGUACCCACAGAUGUCAAAUGCCAGAGCCAAGCCAAACAUGAGCUCGUCUCGCUCUUCAUCUGUAAUGAACGAUGACUCUGGCGUUUAUGAGAAUUUGAACAUCAAAAAUCCAAAGGGCUCCACCAGCAGCAAUACCAGGAGAUAAGAUACUGUAUGUGGGAUGUCGUCUCAGGAACUCUGCGAAAUUUGUCGGAAGGCACGAAGGGAUGUGUCCAUAAAAUUUCCAGAGGUGCUGUGUAGAAGCACCUGAUCAUGGAGCGACACUGGAUUACAGCACUGGGGGGAGGGGGGCACCAGCAGCACCUACACUGAGGCGAAGCCGCCCAGCUGCUCGGCUUGAGAUUCCACCGAAAUCUCCAACAGCUCCUCUCUUCAUUUCCUGACUGACUACGUCUAAGAAACUCACACUCCAAAACCAAGUGCCUAAGCAGCAGCUGAAAUUGUUCCCGCAAAGGACGCGUGACUUGGUGCUUUCUCUCCCCACUUCUAGUCUAACAAGCCUCUCUACUCUGCACUAAGCUACAUGAUGGUUUGUAUAUGUGUGAAAUAUACAUGAAAUAUGAAUAUUUACACUCAGUGACGUAACUUUGGAUGAAGCUACGCUAUUUCCAUGCUGUCUACGGCUGUUUCCAGACCUUGCUUUGUCUACUGGAUGUCAUCUACUGUAACCAAAGACCUUUGAUAUAUAUCUCAGAAGCAGCGGUUAUUUACGCUCCGCUGAGUGAUGCUCAUGGCACGGUGAUAUAAGAAGAGAAGUACAACGCCCAGCGUCAAGAAUCCCCCCUUUUCUUUUCAGAGCAUAUGAGAGGUGAUUGGUCAAAAUAAAGUUCGACCAAUGAUUUGGAUACCUUAUGUAAGUAGGUGUUUUAAAUGGGCUGAUUUGGUACAGUGUGGUAGAAUCUAUACAGUAUGUGCCAAUUAGCAGCCUGUACAUCAUAUUCAUAAAAGCUUCUGCUUUGAUGCCUUUUUAUUGAGCAUUACCUCCAGGCUAAUGAACAGUCGGAGGGAGUCAAGUGCUACUGUCAAUCAAAGGCUUAUCAACCAAUCAGGCUGCCUCUUCAUCAACGUGCUCCUCCCUCUAUGCGUCGGCUUUCUUGUUCUGAAAACAUCAGGUGAGCCUUUAUUAGGUAGGGUUUUGUUUGUUUGUUAAUAGUAAUUUUGUUUGCAACUAUGAUUCCUUUAGAGCAAUUGUAUCUUUUCUUGUGAUAUUUGUGAAUGUGAUUAUGAAAUCUAGGCCUGGCAUUUUUUUAUAAAAUGCAUUUCUCGUAUUUUUGACUAUUUUAUUCCACAUUUUCAUCCUAAGAGACACAUUAAGCUCCUUUAUCACAUAUAAACAGGGUAUGUGUGUAUAAAUGGCCCGAUAAAGCUCUUUACGUAAAUAGCGGGUUGUGAUGAUUGCACUGAGGAGGCCUUCAAAUGAAAAAAAAAAACGUAAAAUAAAAAAGUGGUGUUACUAAACCUCUACAAGGGAGGGGGUACGUCAGGAUGCAUUUCGGUGGAGACUUUAACUAAAAAGGAGGCAGGCCAGAUGGCCUGCAGCUAAGAUUAAAGAAAUAGAUUUGUGUAGGGCGAAAAAAGUAAUUUAAAACAUGGCCGUAAAUUAAUCCACACGUAGCUAUUAUUAGGAGAGGUCAGCAGUCAUAAGAUGUUAUAUAUACAUUACCAGGUCAGUAAGGGUUUGGGGUCAGUAAGAUUUUU
RNA transcript from Sinocyclocheilus grahami, 3567 nucleotides. It is a transcript of the gene named tyrosine-protein phosphatase non-receptor type 11-like, with no coding region annotated. The record is from RefSeq and is a predicted model, not a curated record. Lineage: Eukaryota; Metazoa; Chordata; Actinopteri; Cypriniformes; Cyprinidae. The transcript is spliced from 17 exons.